GUGAAAUAGCAGGAAGCAAGACCGUCUGUGCCCUGUCUCCUCUUAAGGAAUACAGGCAGAGCUUUGUGACUUCCACAUCUAGGGCAAUGUAUUACACCGCAGAGCAGAAGUUCUACUUCAGCGAGAUCAGGCCUGGGAAGAAACUGCGUUUCACAGGCUUUUGUAAGAGAUGUUCCCAGUAGGCUUUAAGAGCACUGUGGAGAGCAUGUUGUUUCUUAGCUUUCCAAAGAGCUGGAAGCAAGACCGUUUGUGGCUCGUCUCCUUUGGUGGCAAUGACUCAGCGCUUUGUGUCUUCCAACUCUAGAGCAAUGUGGGACAUGGCUGAGAGCUGAUGUUCCAAGGCGGUGAGAUCAUGGCUGGAAACAAACUGCAUUUCAGGCCUUUGUAUGAGAGGUUCACGGUAGGCGGUAAUAGCCCUGUGGAAAGCGAGUUCUUUCUCACCAUGCCAAAGAGCUGUAUGUGAGGGUCUGUGGCCUGUCUCCUCUUAAGGAAGUCAGGCAGGCCAUUGUG
RNAcentral lists this long non-coding RNA (510 nucleotides) under Equus caballus (horse). RNAcentral's name for it is "lncRNA (ENSECAG00000055800.1)". The record is from RNAcentral. Lineage: Eukaryota; Metazoa; Chordata; Mammalia; Perissodactyla; Equidae.